GAUGACUUUUAAUGUCCCUGACAACCUCUAGACCCGUUUAGACACUUGUAAGCAACCACAUUUUCAACAAAAGUAAAACCUUAUAAAAAAGUGUAAGGCGGUAUUACUGAUGUAUCUCAUGUCAAAGAGCAAAGUGUAACUUCAUAAAUAAUAAAUCAUAAGUAGGGCCUGCCUCUGCUCCAGGACCCGAAUCUGCUUCUCCACGGCCUCUGCACUGAAUGCAGCUCGAACGUGUCAUCACCUGCACUCAAAGUGUGGAUCAUGGAGGGGAGUUCAGGAUUACAGCAGGACUACACAAAUGUACGUCUACACAGACACACACACACUCACAUAAAUCUUUAGUAUUCUUGUGUAAAUGUUCUCUAUUCUCUGUUCAGAUGCCUGUGAUCUCACAUUGGAUCCAAUCACAGCAAAUACUCGUCUCGUUCUUUCAGAGGACAACAGAAAAGUGAUGUGGGUAAAUGAGGAUCAGCCAUAUCCUGAUGAUCCACAGAGAUUUGAUGUGUGUCCUCAGGUUCCUCAACUCCUCAGUGUCUCUGUGUCAGACUGAAAGCCUGUGACCAGCAACAGAGACAUCACACACAUCUGAUUAAAAGAAAUACGCUCACUUUAUAUAAUCCAGUAUAUUGUAGUGCUAUGCAUAUUGUAGUGUAUAAUGUACUAUAGGCUAUAAUGUUUUAUAAAUUGUAGUGCUAUCAGUUACCCAGUGUAGUGGACAGCAGGCAAGAUGUCAACCCCUUUGCACACCUUGUGUGGAAAGUUUAAGUUUAAUUGAAUCGGAUUCAUGUGAACAACAAUUAGACACCUUUUUGGCUUCAUUUAAAUCAACACUACCUCUUGCAUUGUUGCCUUUUAUGUGAUUUGUGUAAUGAUGUUAAAUGUAUUUGUGUGGUGAAGCCAAAUACAAAUUUCCACUUGUGAUUAAACUAAACUAAACUAGGGAUGCAUAAAUAGACUAGAUUUUUGCAGAUAUCCGAUAUGCCGAUAUUUCUUUCAACUCAUUUUGGCCGAAAUAUAUCCUUUUGUUUGGAAACACCACAUCUCUCCUUUGUGGAAAUCAUAAACAAAUUAUUUUUAAUUAUUGUUAGUUUUUAACAGAAAUGUAUUUGUAAGAAUUAAAAAAAAAAAAAAAACAAUAAUGAAGUUCUUUUAUAAUGACAGUACAUUGAAAGCUUUGAAAAUAAUUAUAAAUCAACUAUCAAUUGCUGCAUUUUUGUAAUAUUAUUUUAAGAUUUAACAUUUGUAGAUGGUCUAAGGCAAAAGAGUUGUAAAAACUCUGAAAAUCUUUUAGAGCUCAUAAUUUGAUUAAAACAAACAUAUUACACAUUAAUGAAUGAAUCUGUGUAUAUAUAAUUAUUUAAUUUACAAGUGUCAUGUUUGUGAUUUUUUUAUUCAUGUAAGUUAUAGCUUCUGAUUUUUAAAUCAAAACAUACUCAUGGUUUUAUGACAUUGAUACUGCUUUAUUCAGAAACACAUUUUUCAUAAUUCGAUUAAAAAACAAACAUAUUAUACAUUAAUGAAUAAAUCAGUACAUAUACAAUUAUUUAUUUUACA
Cyprinus carpio (common carp) is the source of this 1554-nucleotide long non-coding RNA. NCBI's taxonomy places the organism in Eukaryota, Metazoa, Chordata, Actinopteri, Cypriniformes, Cyprinidae. The record is from Ensembl.